UGGGGAAUAUUGGACAAUGGGGGAAACCCUGAUCCAGCCAUGCCGCGUGAAUGAUGAAGGCCUUCGGGUUGUAAAGUUCUUUUGACGGGGAAGAUGAUGACUGUACCCGUAGAAUAAGCACCGGCUAACUUCGUGCCAGCAGCCGCGGUAAUACGAAGGGUGCUAGCGUUGUUCGGAAUUACUGGGCGUAAAGGGCGCGUAGGCGGCUUAACAAGUUGGAUGUGAAAGCCCAGGGCUCAACCCUGGAAUUGCAUUCAAGACUGUUUUGCUUGAAUUCGGUAGAGGUUGGUAGAAUUCCCAGUGUAGAGGUGAAAUUCGUAGAGAUUGGGAAGAAUACCCGUGGCGAAGGCGACCAACUGGACCGACAUUGACGCUGAGGCGCGAAAGCGUGGGGAUCAAACAGGAUUAGAUACCCCCGUAGUCC
RNAcentral lists this ribosomal RNA (424 nucleotides) under uncultured bacterium. RNAcentral describes it as "bacterial SSU rRNA". It matches the Rfam family "Bacterial small subunit ribosomal RNA", at positions 355 to 796 of the family's 1533-position model. The record is from RNAcentral.